Molecule: long non-coding RNA, 2898 nt
Filed under: Homo sapiens (human)
Lineage: Eukaryota; Metazoa; Chordata; Mammalia; Primates; Hominidae
Description: HSALNT0314128
Source: RNAcentral
UGGGGAGUGGUCAGCUGCUUGAUAUAUUUAUUUAUAACAACCUUAUUGAGAUAUAAUUAAUGUGAUGUAUAUUUACCCUUUUAAAGGAUAUAACUCAUUGGUUUUAGUAUAGUCACAGAGUUAGGCAACUAUCACUACUAUCUAAUUCCAGAAUAUUUUCAUCUCAAAAUGAAACUGUGUACCCAUUAGCAGUCACUCCCUAUCCUUUCCUUCCCCCAGGCCCUGGAAACUACUGAUCUACUACCUGUCUAUGGAUUUGCCCAUCCUGGAAUCACACAAUGUACGAUCUUUUGUGUCUGGCUUCUUUCACUUAGAAUAGUAUUUUUGAAGUUGAUUCCUGUUGUAGCAUGUCUCAGUACUUCAUUCCUUUUAUGGCUGAAUAAUAUUCCAUUGUAUGGACAUGCCACAUAUGGUUUAUCUGUUCAUCAGCUGAUGAACAUUUAGAUUGUUUAUACUUUUUGGCUGUUAUGAAUGAUGCUACUAUGAAUAUUUGUGUCAAGUUUUUGUGGGGAAAUAGGUUUUCAUUUCUCUUUAGUGUGUUCCUAGGAAUGGAAUCACAGGCCCAUAAAGUGAUUAAAUGAUUAACAGUUUGAAGAAAUAUUAACCUAUUUUCUAAAGCAGCUGUACCUAUUUUCUAAAGCAGCAAUCCCCCAACAAUGUAUGAGCAUUGCAAUUUCUCUGCAACUUUGAUAGCACUUGUUAUUAUCUAGUUUUUUAUUAUACCCAUCCUCGUGGGUGUGAAGUGGUAUCUCAUUGACAUAUUAAUUUGCAUUUUCUGCUGUUCUAUAUCUUUUCAUGUGCUUAUUGGUGGUUUUUAUGUCUUCUUGGGGAGAAAUGUCUAUUUGAACAGUUGUAGUUUUACAGAAAAGUGAGUGGAAAGUACAGAGAAUUGCCAUAUAUACACUCAUUCCAACCCCAUCUCUAGAGUUUCCAAUAUUACUGGUGCCUUGGUGUAGUACAUUUGUGACAAUCAAUAUACCAUUAUUUAUACAUUAUUAUUAACUAAAGUUUAGAGUUUGCCUUAUGGUUCACUCUUUGUGUUGUACAGUCUGUGGGUUUUGACAAUUGUAUAGGGACAUGUAUCUACUAUUAGAGUAUCAUACAAAAUACUGCACUAAAAAUUUCCUGAAUAACACCUACUCAUUUUUCCCUUCUUCAAGACACUUGAUAACUGUUGAUCUUUUUACUAUUUCCAUAGUUUUGCCUUUUCUUGGAAUCAUACAGUAUAUAGCCUUUUCAGAUUAGCUUUUUUUCUCAGCAAUAUGCAUUUAAGGUGCCUGCAUAACUUUGUGAUAUGAUAGCUCAUAUCUUUUUUUUUGAGUUGGAGCUUUGCUCUUGUGCCAAGGCUGGAGUGCAGUGGCACAAUCUUAGCUCACUGCAACUUCCGCCUCCCAGGUUCAAGCGAUUCUCCUGCCCCAGCCUCCCAAGUAUUUGAGAUUACAGGCGUGUACCACCACACCCAGCUAAUUUUUGUAUUUUUAGUAGAGACUGGGUUUCACCAUGUUGGCCAGGCUGGUCUCGAACUCCUGACCUCAGGUGAUCCACCUGCCUCGGCCUUCCAAAGUUCUGGGAUUACAGGCUUCAGCCACCGUGCCCAGCCGAUAGCUCAUUUCUUUCUAGUGCUGAAUAAUAUUUUAUUUAUGGAUAUAUCACAAUUUGUUCAUCCAUUUACCUGUUGCGGGACAUCUUGGUUUGGGUAGCUGAAGUUUAGACAAUUAUGAAUAAAGGUGCUGUAAACAUUCAUGUGCAGGUUUUUAUGUGGUCAUAUUUUCAGUCCAUUUGAGUAAAUACCAGGUAGUACAAUUGCUGUGGUAAGAGUAAGUUUAGUUUUGUAAACAAGUGCUAACCUGUCUUCUAAAGUGGCUGUGUAAAAUAAUUUCGUAUUCCCACCAGCAAUGAGUGAGUGUUCUUGUUGCUCCACAUCCUCACCGUCCUUUGGUGAUGUCAGUGUUUUGGAUUUUAGCCAUUCUAAUAGGUGUGUAGUAGUAGUAUGCCAGUGUAUUAAUUUGCAAUUCCCUGAUGACAUAUGAUGUUGAACAUCUUCUUAUAUGCUUUAUUUUCCCAUCUGUUUACCUCUUUUGAUGAGGUAUCUGUUCAGGUCUUGUCUUAGUCCAUUGAAGUAGCUAAAAUACCAUAAACAUGGGUGGGUUAUAAGUAACAGAAAUUUAUUUCUUAUGGUUAUGGAGACUAGGGAAGUGUAAGAUCACUGGCAGAUUCAGUGUCUGGUGAGGGCUUGUUUUCUGGUUCAUAGAUAGUGCCUUCUUGCUGUGUCCUUCCGUGGGGGCAUCUUUUAUAAGGGUAUUAAUCUCAGAGUCCUGGGGCUUCUGGGGCAUCUUUUAUAAGGGUAUUAAUCUCAGAGUCCUCAUAGCAUGAUCACCUCCCAACAGCCCUACCUCCUAAUACCAUCACAUUGAUGCUUAGGUUUCAGUGUAUGAGUUUGAUAGGCUAGUCUACUAACAUUCAGACCAUAGCAAGCCUUUUGUCCAAUUUUAAUUGAGUUGUUGGUUUUCUUAUUGUUGAGUUUUAAGAAUUCUUUGUAUGUUUUGGGUAACAGUCAUUUAUCAGAUACGUAUUUUGCAAAGACUUUUCCUAGAGUGUGUGACUUUUCAUUCAUGUCUUCCUCAGAGCAGACAUUUCUAAUUUUAACGAAGUUCAACUUACCAAAUUUUUUCUUUCAUGGAUGUGUUUUUUAUGUUGUAUUUUAAAAGUCACCACCAAACCCAAGGACACCUAGAUUUUUUUCCUGUUAUCUUCUAGGAGUUUAAUAGCUUUUCAUUUUACAGUUAAGUCUAUGAUCCAUUUCAAGUUAAUUUUUGUGAAAGGUAUAAGGUCUAUGCUUAGAUUCAUUUCUUUAAUUGUGUCUGUCCAGUUUUUCCAGCACUACAGUUAUUUCCCCUU